CUCAAUGAAGCGCUUUGCCUACGUGGACAGAAAACGCUUCCUUGAGGGCGCGCUUUCUGUCCACGUAGGCAAAGCGCUUC
Molecule: non-coding RNA, 80 nt
Organism: Gossypium arboreum
Lineage: Eukaryota; Viridiplantae; Streptophyta; Magnoliopsida; Malvales; Malvaceae
Source: Rfam